This is a long non-coding RNA of Prosopis cineraria, 1907 nucleotides long. RefSeq lists it as uncharacterized. NCBI's taxonomy places the organism in Eukaryota, Viridiplantae, Streptophyta, Magnoliopsida, Fabales, Fabaceae. The record is from RefSeq and is a predicted model, not a curated record. The transcript is spliced from 6 exons.
AACAGAGAGCAGACGGUGCAUUUAAGGGGAAAAUGCAUAAAAAAGAAAAGAGAGAGAACCGGGCUUGACGAGCUUAUGAUCCAAACUCUUUUUCUUCGAACUUAUAGAAAGGGGGGCUUUGAAGCCCAAUUUUCUUAAAAAUACAUAUUUUUUAGGCCCAAGUCCAAAUAAAAAAAACAAAGGCUUAAAUGGGUUGCCGUUCGGCCGUUCCAGCUGUAGUCAAUCUUGUCCCUGGAGGUCGGCAUUGGCACUUCAUGCUCUUACUCGCGCUACUCAACCGGUUGUGUUCUACGCUCUAUUUUCGACAACUUCUUUGAUUCUGGGCAAUGGGUAUUCUAGAAUUCUUCUAUUUUCUCCAAUCUCUUAUCUGGAUUUCUUUCAUUCCAUGUUCUCAAUGAAUGUUAGGUUUCUCUUGGCUUGAUUUUCUAGCAAGUUAGAAUCUUCCAUUACUUUAAUUUUUGGAUACCUUUGCCCUUUCUGAGCCUGCUUCCUAUCUUUAGGUGCUGAAUUAUACUAUUAUACAUAUCAUUCCUAGUGACUUGAGGAAGCAGCAUGGCUCUGCUCCGCAAACCCUUGCCUUUGAUAGCCCUCCGCCCUAAGCCAUCAUUCUUCUUGAUCAGAAGCAUUUCCAAUUCCCUUAACAGAGUACCUCCCUUAUGCAGAACUAUUUUUUUUUGCUUUGGCUUCUUCAUCCCCUCCAACACAACCACUUCCUUUUGCUUUUGAAAUACUCACAUCUAGGUCUCGACUGCGAGUCACUUGAAUGGGUUGCUCAGAAUGCUUUUUGUGGUGAAUUGUCUUUAAAUAAUAUAGGUAAAAGGGUCCAGCUAUGUGGGUAGGUUGCUUUUCAUUGUGUCCAUGGUGGCCUUACAUUUCUUAAUAUUAGAGACCAUACCGGUAUCGUUCAGGUUACGACCAUUCCAGAUGAAUUUCCUGAUGCUCAUUCCACUAUCAAUGACUUGAGACUUAAAUAUGUUGUAGCUGUUAAAGGUAUUGUCCGGUCUCGUCCAAAUGAGUCCAUCAACAAGAGAAUGAAAACUGGCUUCAUUGAGGUUGCUGCAGAGAGUGUUCAAAUAUUAAAUGCUGUAAAGUCUAAGUUACCAUUCUUAAUGAACACAGCUGAUGAUGCAAAAGAAUCUCCUUAAGAAGAAAUUCAUUUGAGGUAUCGAUGCCUGGAUCUAAGGCGGCACCGAAUGAAUUCCAACAUAUUGUUGCGACAUAAAGUGGUGAAACUUAUUCGGAGAUAUUUAGAAGACACACAUGGUGUUGUGGAGAUUGAAACUCCAAUACUGUCUAGAUCCACUCCAGAAGGUGCGCGAGAUUAUUUGGUCCCCUCAAGAAUCCAGGCUCAACUCUAAACAAAAAUCAAAAUUCCCUUCCUCGCGCAACACGAGAAUGAACACACUAGAACUAACAAGAAGGGUAUGUUUGUGCUCCAUUUGGAAUUUGUUCAGCCCGUUCUUGCCUAUGCAUCUUCCUCACAGUUGGAAUGCUUAGAUCAUAGACCUUGACAGUUGCUAGACCUAGGAGGAAUCCUUAACACUAUAGCUAAGAACCUCAUUGAUUUAAAGUCUUCUAAACAUGAGAUGUGUCAUCUUGGAAAGCAUUUGCUGCUUCAACCUUGAGGUCAGCUGCAGUGGCAUUUACAGGGAGAAUCACUAACUCUAAUGGAAGGUGAGUGAUAGAAUCUUCAUAUUCAUCUUCUAGUUCUAAUUGACAUGAGAGGUACAUCUUAAACAGGUUUGAUGGUGGCAUCGUCUCGGGUUUAUGGUCCUUGACAAGCUGCUUGCAAUCAAGUUUUUGAGUGGAGCUCAUGGCAAUUGCCGUUGUGUCUCUCAAAUAAAAGGUGUCUAAAAUCCUAUCCUUCUAAAGUGCACGAAAACACACGCUCCCUUAUCUUUCUAAAA